GCCCCCCUCAAGAUGAGAUUUCCCAUUCCGCAAGGAAGUAAGAUCCCUGAAAGAUGAUCAGGUUGGCCCCCCUCAAGAUGAGAUUUCCCAUUCCGCAAGGAAGUAAGAUCCCUGAAAGAUGAUCAGGUUGAUAGGUCUGAGGUGGAAGCGUGGUGACACGUGGAGCUGACAGAUACUAAUAGAUCGAGGACUUAACCUU
This 199-nucleotide ribosomal RNA is filed under the name Bacillus pumilus. RNAcentral describes it as "partial 23S ribosomal RNA". It matches the Rfam family "Bacterial large subunit ribosomal RNA", at positions 2728 to 2925 of the family's 2925-position model. The record is from RNAcentral. Lineage: Bacteria; Bacillati; Bacillota; Bacilli; Caryophanales; Bacillaceae.